Molecule: ribosomal RNA, 1068 nt
Filed under: uncultured organism
Description: bacterial SSU rRNA
Rfam family: Bacterial small subunit ribosomal RNA
Source: RNAcentral
CAGGAUGAACGCUAGCGGUGUGUUAACACAUGCAAGUCGAGCGCAUCUUCGGAUGAGCGGCAGACGAGAGAGUAACACGUUGGUACCUACCCCAUACUCAGGGAUAACCCUCCGAAAGGAGGGCUAAUACCGGAUGGUCCCGCAAGGGUAAAGCUUUUGCGGUAUGGGAGGGGCCUGCGGCCUAUCAGCUAGUUGGUAAGGUAAAGGCUUACCAAUGCGAUGACGGGUAGUUGAUGUGAGAGCAUGAUCAGCCUCGAUGGGACUGCGACACGGCCCAUACUCCUACGGGAGGCAGCAGUGAAGAAUCUUCCGCAAUGGACGAAAGUCUGACGGAGCAACACCGCGUGAAGGACGAAGGCCCUCGGGUCGUAAACUUCUUUUCUGAGGGAAUAAGUUCUGAAGGUACCUCAGGAAUAAGGCGCUGCUAACUACGUGCCAGCAGCAGCGGUAAUACGUAGGCGCCAAGCGUUAUCCGGAAUUACUGGGCGUAAAGCGUCCGUAGGCGGCUAAAUUAGUCGGGUGUUAAAUUUUCGUGCCUAACGCGAAAAACGUACUCGAAACUGUUUAGCUACGAGUCUGAAAGAGGUCACUGGAAUUCCUACUGGAGGGGUAAAAUCCGUAGAUAGUAGGAGGAACACCAAAAGCGAAGGCAGGUGGCUGGUUCAGUACUGACGCUCAGGGACGAAAGCGUGGGGAGCAAACAGGAUUAGAUACCCUGGUAGUCCACGCCGUAAACGAUGAGUGCUAGGCGUUGAAGAGUUGUUUCGACCCUCUUCAGUGUCCAAAGUUAACACGUUAAGCACUCCGCCUGGGGAGUACGGCCGCAAGGCUAAAACUCAAAGGAAUAGACGGGGGCCCGCACAAGCGGUGGAGCAUGGGGUUUAAUUCGACAAUAAGCGAGGAACCUCACCUAGGCUUGACAUCUCGAGAAAGCUCUGGAAACAGAGCCGUGCAUUUUGGAACUCGAUGACAGGCGCUGCAUGGUUGUCGUCAGCUCGUGCCAUGAGGUGUUCGGUUAAGUCCGUAAACGAGCGCAACCCUCGUCGUGUGUUGUAUUUUUCACGCGAG